This 733-nucleotide ribosomal RNA is filed under the name uncultured Ascomycota. RNAcentral describes it as "SSU rRNA". It matches the Rfam family "Eukaryotic small subunit ribosomal RNA", at positions 402 to 1142 of the family's 1831-position model. The record is from RNAcentral. Lineage: Eukaryota; Fungi; Ascomycota.
AACGGCUACCACAUCCAAGGAAGGCAGCAGGCGCGCAAAUUACCCAAUCCCGACACGGGGAGGUAGUGACAAUAAAUAACAAGCCAGGGCCCAUUUGGGUUUUGGCAUUGGAAUGAGUACAAUGUAAACACCUUAACGAGGAACAAUUGGAGGACAAGUCUGGUGCCAGCACCCGCGGUAAUUCCAGCUCCAAUAGCGUAUAUUAAAGUUGUUGCAGUUAAAAAGCUCGUAGUUGAAAUUGGGCGCGGCUGGCCGGUCCGCCUCACGGCGUGCACUGGUCUCGGCCGUGCCUUCCUCCUGGGCCGCCCGAGAGCGCUUCAUUGUGCGCUCGGGAUGGCCCAGGACUUUUACUUUGAAAAAAUUAGAGUGUUCAAAGCAGGCAUUUGCUCGGAUACAUUAGCAUGGAAUAAUAGAAUAGGACGUCGAUCCUAUUUUGUUGGUUUCUAGGACCGCCGUAAUGAUUAAUAGGGAUAGUUGGGGGCAUUAGUAUUCAAUUGUCAGAGGUGAAAUUCUUGGAUUUAUUGAAGACUAACUACUGCGAAAGCAUUUGCCAAGGAUGUUUUCAUUAAUCAAGAACGAAAGUUAGGGGAUCGAAGACGAUUAGAUACCGUCGUAGUCUUAACCAUAAACUAUGCCGACUAGGGAUCGGGCGCAGUUUCAAACGACUCGCUCGGCACCUUAAGAGAAAUCAAAGUUUUUGGGUUCUGGGGGGAGUAUGGUCGCAAGGCUGAAA